UGGGGAAUUUUGCACAAUGGGGGAAACUCUGAUGCAGCGACGCCGCGUGAUUUAGAAGGCCUUCGGGUUGUAAAAUUCUUUUCUAUGGGAAGAAAAUGACAGUACCAUAGGAAUAAGGACCGGCUAAUUACGUGCCAGCAGCCGCGGGAAUACGUAAGGUCCGAGCGUUGUCCGGAAUCAUUGGGCGUAAAGGGUACGUAGGCGGGUAAGCAAGUUAGAAGUGAAAUCCUAUAGCUCAACUAUAGUAAGCUUUUAAAACUGCUCAUCUUGAGGUAUGGAAGGGAAAGUGGAAUUCCUAGUGUAGCGGUGAAAUGCGCAGAUAUUAGGAGGAAUACCGGUGGCGAAGGCGACUUUCUGGCCAUAACCUGACGCUGAGGUACGAAAGCGUGGGUAGCAAACAGG
RNAcentral lists this ribosomal RNA (402 nucleotides) under bacterium. Its description in RNAcentral is "partial 16S ribosomal RNA". It matches the Rfam family "Bacterial small subunit ribosomal RNA", at positions 355 to 776 of the family's 1533-position model. The record is from RNAcentral.